Small nucleolar RNA from Medicago truncatula (barrel medic), 80 nucleotides. It matches the Rfam family "Small nucleolar RNA snoR122". NCBI's taxonomy places the organism in Eukaryota, Viridiplantae, Streptophyta, Magnoliopsida, Fabales, Fabaceae. The record is from Rfam.
GGCCAAUGAUGUAUUACUUGCACGUAUUACCAGAUCUGCUGUGUGAUUGAUAAAUGCUAAUUGUCACUACCUCUGAGGCC